Molecule: ribosomal RNA, 353 nt
Filed under: Gobius niger (black goby)
Lineage: Eukaryota; Metazoa; Chordata; Actinopteri; Gobiiformes; Gobiidae
Description: partial 12S ribosomal RNA
Rfam family: Bacterial small subunit ribosomal RNA
Source: RNAcentral
UUCGCCCGGGUACAACGAGCCCAAGCUUAAAACCCAAAGGACUUGGCGGUGCUUUAGACCCCCCUAGAGGAGCCUGUUCUAGAAUCGAUUCUCCCCGUUCAACCUCACCCCCCCUUGUUCUCCCCGCCUAUAUACCGCCGUCGUCAGCUUACCCUGUGAAGGAAGAGAAGUAAGCAGAAUUGGCACAGCCCAAAAAGUCAGGUCGAGGUGUAGCGUAUGGAGGGGAAAGAAAUGGGCUACAUUUGCUGAGCCAGCAAAUACGGAUUUUGCACUGAAAUUAGAGCACAUGAAGGAGGAUUUAGUAGUAAGGAGGAAGUAGAGCGUCCCCCUGAACCCGGCCCUGAAGCGCGCAC